GGGCACUCAGGCCGGAGCCGGGACUCAGCUCCAGCUCUCCAACUCCUACCCGUUAGGGGAGAGGGACCCACUCGCGAGCGAGACUGAACGCUUGUCAGAAUUCACAGCUCCUCACCCUCCGUGCAGGGGCUCCCCGGGUCCCGCCCCCAAGAGCACGCACAGCAGGGAGCAAACCGCCCGGGUGUGUGCAACACUCCCCGGGGCUUCCCGUAGCAGCUGAUCCGCAAGGGUGGGGUGCUGGGGUCCAGCAGCGGCGAUAACCCGCGCCCUGCCCCCUCCGCCUCCGCCCCAACACAAGAGCGCCGGCUAUCCCAUUUCACAGAUGAAGACAGAAGGUUCAUUCAUGAAGGGCCAAAUGAACAUGUGCGUGGUCCUCCCGGAGGAGAAGCAGCCCAAGGGGCAGGAGCCCUUUCUCAAUAGGGGUUGGUUCUGGGCAGGUUGACUUCCUAGGGUGG
Molecule: long non-coding RNA, 455 nt
Organism: Mustela lutreola (European mink)
Lineage: Eukaryota; Metazoa; Chordata; Mammalia; Carnivora; Mustelidae
Exons: 3
Source: RefSeq, a predicted model, not a curated record